This 74-nucleotide transfer RNA is filed under the name Alphaproteobacteria bacterium. RNAcentral's name for it is "tRNA-Cys". It matches the Rfam family "tRNA". From Rfam's summary of the family: Transfer RNA (tRNA) molecules are approximately 80 nucleotides in length. Their secondary structure includes four short double-helical elements and three loops (D, anti-codon, and T loops). The record is from RNAcentral. RNAcentral also lists the same sequence under 3 other names. Lineage: Bacteria; Pseudomonadati; Pseudomonadota; Alphaproteobacteria.
GGUGCGGUGGCGGAGAGGCUACGCACCGGCCUGCAAAGCCGAGUACACCGGUUCGAAUCCGGUCCGCACCUCCA